Molecule: ribosomal RNA, 497 nt
Filed under: uncultured bacterium
Lineage: Bacteria
Description: partial 16S ribosomal RNA
Rfam family: Bacterial small subunit ribosomal RNA
Source: RNAcentral
GAUGAACGCUGGCGGCGUGCCUAAUACAUGCAAGUCGAGCGAACAGACGAGGAGCUUGCUCCUCUGACGUUAGCGGCGGACGGGUGAGUAACACGUGGAUAACCUACCUAUAAGACUGGGAUAACUUCGGGAAACCGGAGCUAAUACCGGAUAAUAUAUUUAACCGCAUGGUUAAAUAGUGAAAGACGGUUUUGCUGUCACUUAUAGAUGGAUCCGCGCCGCAGUAGCUAGUCGGUAAGGUAACGGCUUACCAAGGCGACGAUGCGUAGCCGACCUGAGAGGGUGAGCAGCCACACUGGAACUGAGACACGGUCCAGACUCCUACGGGAGGCAGCAGUAGGGAAUCUGCAGCAAUGGGCGAAAGCCUGACGGAGCAACGCCGCGUGAGUGAUGAAGGUCUUCGGAUCGUAAAACUCUGUUAUUAGGGAAGAACAAAUGUGUAAGUAACUAUGCACGUCUUGACGGUACCUAAUCAGAAAGCCACGGCUAACUACGUG